Molecule: ribosomal RNA, 745 nt
Filed under: uncultured bacterium
Lineage: Bacteria
Description: bacterial SSU rRNA
Rfam family: Bacterial small subunit ribosomal RNA
Source: RNAcentral
ACGCUGGCGGCAGGCCUAACACAUGCAAGUCGAGCGGUAGAGAGAAGCUUGCUUCUCUUGAGAGCGGCGGACGGGUGAGUAAUGCCUAGGAAUCUGCCUGGUAGUGGGGGAUAACGUUCGGAAACGGACGCUAAUACCGCAUACGUCCUACGGGAGAAAGCAGGGGACCUUCGGGCCUUGCGCUAUCAGACGAGCCUAGGUCGGAUUAGCUAGUUGGUGAGGUAAUGGCUCACCAAGGCGACGAUCCGUAACUGGUCUGAGAGGAUGAUCAGUCACACUGGAACUGAGACACGGUCCAGACUCCUACGGGAGGCAGCAGUGGGGAAUAUUGGACAAUGGGCGAAAGCCUGAUCCAGCCAUGCCGCGUGUGUGAAGAAGGUCUUCGGAUUGUAAAGCACUUUAAGUUGGGAGGAAGGGCAGUUACCUAAUACGUGAUUGUUUUGACGUUACCGACAGAAUAAGCACCGGCUAACUCUGUGCCAGCAGCCGCGGUAAUACAGAGGGUGCAAGCGUUAAUCGGAAUUACUGGGCGUAAAGCGCGCGUAGGUGGUUUGUUAAGUUGGAUGUGAAAUCCCCGGGCUCAACCUGGGAACUGCAUUCAAAACUGACUGACUAGAGUAUGGUAGAGGGUGGUGGAAUUUCCUGUGUAGCGGUGAAAUGCGUAGAUAUAGGAAGGAACACCAGUGGCGAAGGCGACCACCUGGACUGAUACUGACACUGAGGUGCGAAAGCGUGGGGAGCAAAC